Molecule: ribosomal RNA, 429 nt
Filed under: uncultured bacterium
Lineage: Bacteria
Description: bacterial SSU rRNA
Rfam family: Bacterial small subunit ribosomal RNA
Source: RNAcentral
UAGGGAAUCUUGCGCAAUGGGCGAAAGCCUGACGCAGCGACGCCGCGUGGGGGAUGAAGGCUCUUGGGUCGUAAACCCCUUUCGGCAGGGAAGAAGCGAAAGUGACGGUACCUGCAGAAGAAGCCCCGGCCAACUACGUGCCAGCAGCCGCGGUAACACGUAGGGGGCGAGCGUUGUCCGGAUUCAUUGGGCGUAAAGCGCGCGCAGGCGGCUCGGAAAGUCGGGUGUGAAAACUCGGGGCUCAACCCCGGGCGUGCAUCCGAUACUGCCGGGCUUGAGGCAGGUAGGGGAGAUCGGAAUUCCUGGUGUAGCGGUGAAAUGCGCAGAUAUCAGGAGGAACACCGGUGGCGAAGGCGGAUCUCUGGGCCUGUCCUGACGCUGAGGCGCGAAAGCUAGGGGAGCGAACAGGAUUAGAUACCCGUGUAGUCC